Molecule: small RNA, 79 nt
Filed under: Mesoflavibacter zeaxanthinifaciens subsp. sabulilitoris
Lineage: Bacteria; Pseudomonadati; Bacteroidota; Flavobacteriia; Flavobacteriales; Flavobacteriaceae
Description: Flavo-1 RNA
Source: RNAcentral
AUGCGUUAGCGAUAGUAAUGGUUAGCUUUUGGCGAGGCUUGCAUCGAGCCAAAACUAGUAAUGGAUAGCGCGACCACUU